This 478-nucleotide ribosomal RNA is filed under the name Fusarium chlamydosporum. RNAcentral's name for it is "eukaryotic LSU rRNA". The stretch from base 123 to 276 matches the Rfam family "5.8S ribosomal RNA". The record is from RNAcentral. Lineage: Eukaryota; Fungi; Ascomycota; Sordariomycetes; Hypocreales; Nectriaceae.
UGACAUACCUAUACGUUGCCUCGGCGGAUCAGCCCGCGCCCCGUAAAAAGGGACGGCCCGCCCGAGGACCCCUAAACUCUGUUUUUAGUGGAACUUCUGAGUAAAACAAACAAAUAAAUCAAAACUUUCAACAACGGAUCUCUUGGUUCUGGCAUCGAUGAAGAACGCAGCAAAAUGCGAUAAGUAAUGUGAAUUGCAGAAUUCAGUGAAUCAUCGAAUCUUUGAACGCACAUUGCGCCCGCCAGUAUUCUGGCGGGCAUGCCUGUUCGAGCGUCAUUUCAACCCUCAAGCUCAGCUUGGUGUUGGGACUCGCGGUAACCCGCGUUCCCCAAAUCGAUUGGCGGUCACGUCGAGCUUCCAUAGCGUAGUAAUCAUACACCUCGUUACUGGUAAUCGUCGCGGCCACGCCGUAAAACCCCAACUUCUGAAUGUUGACCUCGGAUCAGGUAGGAAUACCCGCUGAACUUAAGCAUAUCAA